AUUGAACGCUGGCGGCAUGCUUUACACAUGCAAGUCGAACGCGAAAGGGGGCAACCCUGAGUAGAGUGGCGAACGGGUGAGUAAUGCAUCGGAACGUGUCCUGUAGCGGGGGACAACCCCGAGAAAUCGGGGCUAAUACCGCAUACGUCCUACGGGAGAAAGUGGGGACCCAAGGGUAACUGAGGGCCUCACACUAUAGGGGCGGCCGAUGCCAGAUUAGCUAGUUGGUGGGGUAAAGGCUCACCAAGGCGACGAUCCGUAGCUGGUCUGAGAGGAUGAUCAGCCACACUGGGACUGAGACACGGCCCAGACUCCUACGGGAGGCAGCAGUGGGGAAUUUUGGACAAUGGGCGCAAGCCUGAUCCAGCCAUGCCGCGUGAGUGAAGAAGGCCUUCGGGUUGUAAAGCUCUUUCGGCCGGGACGAAAUCGCUCUCGCUAAUACCGGGAGUGGAUGACUGUACCGGAAUAAGAAGCACCGGCUAACUACGUGCCAGCCGCCGCGGUAAGAC
This 509-nucleotide ribosomal RNA is filed under the name uncultured bacterium. RNAcentral describes it as "bacterial SSU rRNA". It matches the Rfam family "Bacterial small subunit ribosomal RNA", at positions 29 to 526 of the family's 1533-position model. The record is from RNAcentral.